UGUAAAGAAUUUGGGGGAAUAUCGCUCGCCCUGUGCACAGGAUUGAUAGAAGAGAAAAAUACUAUAAAGAGAUAAAGAAAGAGAGACACAGAAAAUCUGGAAAGAUAUUGCUAAAGGUGAUGUUAAACUAAAAUAUUGGGGUGGAUCGGAUAGUGGUAGUAGGUAGACGAGAUAACCAGUAAGAAAAGGAGCAAGAAUACGAGAGUAAAAGCAAAACGGAAAAAAUAAUGAGUUAGUGAAGGAAGAGAGAUGAAAUAAAAUACUGAGUUAAUAAUGAUAAGUCCCGAGCAGCAACUUGGAAACCUGAGUUAUACAACUCCCUGACAGAUAUUCGUUGAUAAUACCUUGAGCCAUCAAAUAGAAUGUGUAGCUUGGAUUUCCUGGCCGUGUCUUGUCCUGUGUCCUUAGAAAACUUAAGGUAACACAUAGAUCUCAAGCAAAGUACAUCGUUGGGCAGAUUCAUAAAUUGUUGAUCAACCACAUCUGUGCUUUCAAGAUUGCUGAGUGAAGGAUUUGAACAACUAUAAACAAGAAGGUAGUGAUGACAUUUUAUGUGAAUCUCGCUUGCAACUCUCAAGAGUUCUUUGCACCAAGCAGAUGAAAGCAACACAUCUAGUUUUCCUGGAGACUGAAAGUUGAGAUCGUUUGGUGCCACAGUAAGCUCAACAUGCAAUGGGAGAUAAAAUUUGAGAAAUCUUAGUCGAGACAUCUUUUUAAGAGUGUCUACUUUUAAAGGGAAUUAAUAUUGUCGUCAUCAUUGAAAAAACAAAAGACUUGGAGGCUAUGACCAUUGAGCAACUUUUGGGCUCGUUACAAGUUUAUGAAGAAAAGAAAAAGAAGAAAGGGAUCAUGGAGCAACUACUCAAGACACAAGUUAAUUCAACCAAUGAAGAAAGUAGUCACAAUAAUAGGAGCCAACGAGGACAAGGUUGUGGUGGAGAUCGAGGAAGAUGACAAAGUUGGAGGCUAUAUGACAACAACAACAACAACUUUCAAAGAGGAGGAAGUUCAGCAAGAGGUCGUGGACAAGGUAUGAUAAGUCAAAUGUGAAAUGUUGCAAUUGUGAGAAGUUUAGUCAUUAUGCUUUCAAAUGUAGAGUUUCUAGCAACAAUAAGGUUGAAGAGAAGGCAAACUACGUGAAAGAAAGAAUUAAAGAAGGUGACAAUUUAUUGAUGGCUUGAAUGGGUAAUGAAAGAAACGAAGACAAUAGAUGAUACCUACACACAGGUGCAAGCAAUCAUAUGUGCGGGAAAAAAAACAUGUUUGUGGAGCUUGAUGAAUCGAUGAGCAGCAAUGUGGCCUUUGGAGAUGAAUCCAAGGUAGAAGUGAAAGGAAAAGGUAACAUUCUUAUCCGUUUGAAGAAUGGUGAUCGUCAAUUAAUCCCAAAUGCUUAUUAUGUGCCAAAUAUGAAAAGUAAUAUCUUAAGCCUAUGGCAGUUCCUAGAGAAAGGUUAUGAUAUCCGCUUAAAAGGCAAUAGCUUUUCUAUAAGAGACAAUGCAAGUAACUUGAUUACUAAGGUGUCAAUGUCAAAAAUAGAAUGUUUGUGCUCAACUUUCAAAAUGAUGUUGCAAAAUGUCUCAAUAUGUGCUACAAAGAUGCGUAUUGGCUUUAGCAUCUUCGAUUUGAGCAUCUCAAUUUUGGAGAAUUAGAGUUGCUCUCCAAGAAGAAAAUGGUGAAAGGAUUGUCUUACACUAGUCACCCUGAUCAAGUAUGUGAAGGAUAUUCACUUGGAAAGCAAUUCAAUAAAAGCUUUUCAAAGGAGUCUAACUCAAGAGCUAAAAAGCCAUUGGAAAGCAUACAUACAAAUUUCGAUCUAACUACUCUAGAUUUCUUUAGAACAUUCUUCAAAGUCAUUUGUAAGGGCUACCUCAUCAUCUGUGGAACUAUCAGAGUCAUUUGAUCCAUCAGAUUAAUACAUUUGCACUUUAAAAGCUUUGGAUAGGCUCUUCUUUUCUUCUCUUCUGAAGUUUGAUUCUUCAGACUUGAGAGUAGUGAAAUUAUUCUUUUGAAAAUGAUCCAUGUUCAGAUGAACUUCAUGAACUCUUAAAAUACCAAGCAACUCACCUUAUGUAAGAUUUUUUAGGUCUCUUGCUUCUUGGAUGGUUGUGGUCUUUGGUUCCCACAUCUUAUGAAAGUUGUUCGACACCUUCAAGUUUAUUUGAGUCUUGAAAUAUGUCUAUCCAAGGGCUUUCAGAUUGUUCAAAAGAACUUGAAGUCUUCUAAGCAUGUCAUCCACAAACUCUACAUUUAAGUGUUGCAUUUAAGAUCUUCAUUUAAUACUCUGUGUUUAAAAUCCUAUUUUGCAAAAAACAUUAUCCUAGAAUCUAUCGAAAUCAUAUGAAGAAUAAAUGAAGUCUAAGAUUUGAAAUUGCUCAUCUUUAUCAAAAGGUGUGCUUUGCUAUGCAAACCUACUAUGAUAGAAGAAGUGACUAGAAUUAAAUGCCCCAAUGACCAGAAUUCAUUAGAUGAAGAAUUUUCGUGAAGAAUUAAUCUGAUAAGAGACAACAAACACUUAAAGAUGAAGACUAUAAAUAGAAGAAACUUUGAAGAACAAGACAUGAACCAAUCUUACGUGCAAAAUUCAUUCAUUCUUUCUUGUGUAAAGUUUUCUAUAAAUUCUUAUAUAGAUCAAAAAGCUCUCAAAACACUUUGUUCAUCUUGAGAGAAUACACUAAAGAGCCGAGUGAGAUAUUCUUCCGUAAGACUUUUAUAUAGUUCCUUUUUUUUUUACAAAAAAUUCAGUUUUAGUCUUUUAUUUAUCAAAUUUGAGUCAAUAUUAUCUUUGUGAAACAACAAUCGCUCUCAAUUUUAAAUUGGGGUUUUUUUAUUGGUAAAGUGU
Long non-coding RNA from Glycine soja, 2839 nucleotides. RefSeq lists it as uncharacterized. NCBI's taxonomy places the organism in Eukaryota, Viridiplantae, Streptophyta, Magnoliopsida, Fabales, Fabaceae. The transcript has 3 exons. The record is from RefSeq and is a predicted model, not a curated record.